GAUGAACGCUGGCGGCGUGCCUAAUACAUGCAAGUCGAGCGAACAGAUGAGGAGCUUGCUCCUCUGACGUUAGCGGCGGACGGGUGAGUAACACGUGGAUAACCUACCUAUAAGACUGGGAUAACUUCGGGAAACCGGAGCUAAUACCGGAUAAUAUAUUGAACCGCAUGGUUCAAUAGUGAAAGACGGUUUUGCUGUCACUUAUAGAUGGAUCCGCGCCGCAUUAGCUAGUUGGUAAGGUAACGGCUUACCAAGGCAACGAUGCGUAGCCGACCUGAGAGGGUGAUCGGCCACACUGGAACUGAGACACGGUCCAGACUCCUACGGGAGGCAGCAGUAGGGAAUCUUCCGCAACGGGCGAAAGCCUGACGGAGCAACGCCGCGUGAGUGGUGAAGGUCUUCGGAUCGUAAAACUCUGUUAUUAGGGAAGAACAAAUGUGUAAGUAACUAUGCACGUCUUGACGGUACCUAAUCAGAAAGCCACGGCUAACUACGUG
This 497-nucleotide ribosomal RNA is filed under the name uncultured bacterium. RNAcentral describes it as "partial 16S ribosomal RNA". It matches the Rfam family "Bacterial small subunit ribosomal RNA", at positions 28 to 507 of the family's 1533-position model. The record is from RNAcentral.